CGGUUAGUUGACCAUCAUUUUCCCAUUGUUGUCAUCAUUUUAAUCUUUAUGUCUGUGAUGUUUAAAGAAAGAGCUCGUAGCAUUAAUUAUUUAGGUAGGUUUGAAGAAACAAUCCCAUGCAUGUGUGUAUAUAUGUAGGUAUGUAUAUAAUAAGUACGUACAUAGUAAUGAUAUGGGGUGAAAUGAUUGUGAUGGUGUUACAGAGCUGUUGUUGAAGCUUGGGGAGAUGUGUGGGGCAACAGUGAGUGUGAGUCUGCGAUGUCAAUUGCCAACAGAGGAUCUUGACGCUUUGGUUUCGAUCACCUCCGAUGAGGAUCUGGCAAAUCUCAUCGAGGAAUACGAUCGUGUUGCAUCACCUCCAUCUUCUUUAAAGAUCAGAGCUUUCCUUUCACUACCCAAAAAAAUCUCUUCACCAACUUCUUCUUCUUCUUCAUCAUCAUCAUCGGCUUCCUCAUCGCCAAAAUCAUCAACAACAACAGCUCCAUCAACUUCUGUCACCCGCUGCCACUGUCAUGUUCCGGCAGCCGCUCCGGUUGCGUCUCCACUCUGCUUAAAAAAAUC
RNAcentral lists this long non-coding RNA (561 nucleotides) under Citrus sinensis (sweet orange). RNAcentral describes it as "long non-coding RNA (CSIN_LNC002866)". The record is from RNAcentral. Lineage: Eukaryota; Viridiplantae; Streptophyta; Magnoliopsida; Sapindales; Rutaceae.